AAUUAAACGGCCGCGGUACCCUAACCGUGCAAAGGUAGCGUAAUCAUUUGUCUAUUAAUUGUAGACCUGUAUGAAAGGCAUAAUGAGGGUUUAACUGUCUCUUUUAGUAAAUCAAUUAAACUGAUCUCCUAGUCCAAAAGCUAGGAUACCAACAUAAGACCAGAAGACCCUGUGAAACUUUAACUAAAAUAUUAAAGCCUAUAAUAACUACUUUAGGUUGGGGCGACCUUGGAAAAUAAAAGAACUUCCACACACAUAUUAUAUAAUAAUAUAUAACCGGCCAACAAGCCUACAACGACCCAGCACAGCUGACAAUUGAACCAAGCUACUCCAGGGAUAACAGCGCUAUCUUCUUCAAGAGCCCAUAUCAAAAAGAAGGUUUACGACCUCGAUGUUGGAUCAGGACAUCCUGAUGGUGCAACCGCUAUUAAGGGUUCGUUUGUUCAACGAUUAAUAGUCCUACGUG
This 466-nucleotide ribosomal RNA is filed under the name Hydrophis cyanocinctus (Asian annulated sea snake). RNAcentral's name for it is "partial 16S ribosomal RNA". It matches the Rfam family "Bacterial large subunit ribosomal RNA", at positions 1921 to 2602 of the family's 2925-position model. Lineage: Eukaryota; Metazoa; Chordata; Lepidosauria; Squamata; Elapidae. The record is from RNAcentral.